GACAAACGCUGGCGGCAUGCCUAACACAUGCAAGUCGAACGGACAGAACAGGGAAGCUCUUCGGAGUGGAACUGGAAAGUUAGUGGCGGAUGGGUGAGUAACGCGUGGACAACCUACCUUGUAAAGGGGAAUAACCUCGAGAAAUCGAAGCUAAUACCCCAUAAUAACCUUGAAUCGCAUGAAUUGAGGAGGAAAGGCGGCCUUAGAGCUGUCGAUAGAAGAUGGGUCCGCGUCUGAUUAGCUAGUUGGUGAGGUAAAGGCUCACCAAGGCGACGAUCAGUAGCCGGCCUGAGAGGGUGAACGGCCACAUUGGGACUGAGACACGGCCCAAACUCCUACGGGAGGCAGCAGUGGGGAAUCUUCCGCAAUGGGCGCAAGCCUGACGGAGCAAUGCCGCGUGAGUGAAGAAGGCCUUCGGGUUGUAAAACUCUGUCCUAGACGAAGAGAGAGUAUUGUAGUAACUGACAAUACUAGGACGGUAGACUAGGAGGAGGCCCCGGCUAACUAUGUGCCAGCAGCCGCGGUAAAACAUAGGGGGCAAGCGUUGUCCGGAAUCACUGGGCGUAAAGGGCGCGCAGGCGGUAAAUUAAGUCAGGUGUGAAAGUUCGGGGCUCAACCCCGUGAUUGCACCUGAUACUGAUAAACUAGAGUGUUGGAGAGGUAAGUGGAAUUCCUAGUGUAGCGGUGGAAUGCGUAGAUAUUAGGAGGAACACCAGUGGCGAAGGCGACUUACUGGCCAAUAACUGACGCUGAGGCGCGAAAGCGUGGGGAGCAAACAGG
RNAcentral lists this ribosomal RNA (780 nucleotides) under uncultured Peptococcus sp. RNAcentral describes it as "bacterial SSU rRNA". It matches the Rfam family "Bacterial small subunit ribosomal RNA", at positions 28 to 776 of the family's 1533-position model. Lineage: Bacteria; Bacillati; Bacillota; Clostridia; Eubacteriales; Peptococcaceae. The record is from RNAcentral.